GUCGAACGGAGUUAUCAUUUCAGAAGCAAUUAGCUUGCUAAGAGUCCAUGAGAGGAUAACUUAGUGGCGGACGGGUGAGUAACGCGUGGGGAACCUGCCCUGCACCGGGGGAUAACACCUGGAAACAGGUGCUAAUACCGCAUAAGCGCACGAGGCCGCAUGGCCAGGUGUGAAAAACUAAGGUGGUGCAGGAUGGACCCGCGUCUGAUUAGCUUGUUGGUAGGGUAACGGCCUACCAAGGCGACGAUCAGUAGCCGGCCUGAGAGGGUGAACGGCCACAUUGGGACUGAGACACGGCCCAAACUUAUACGGGAGGCAGCAGUGGGGAAUAUUGGACAAUGGGGGAAACCCUGAUCCAGCGACGCCGCGUGAGUGAAGAAGUAUUUCGGUAUGUAAAGCUCUAUCAGCAGGGAAGAAAAUGACGGUACCUGACUAAGAAGCCCCGGCUAACUACGUGCCAGCAGCCGCGGUAAUACGGAGGAUGCGAGCGUUAUCCGGAUUUACUGGGUGUAAAGGGCGUGUAGGCGGGGAAGCAAGUCAGAUGUGAAAACCACGGGCUCAACCUGUGGCCUGCAUUUGAAACUGUUUUUCUUGAGUGCUGGAGAGGCAAUCGGAAUUCCGUGUGUAGCGGUGAAAUGCGUAGAUAUACGGAGGAACACCAGUGGCGAAGGCGGAUUGCUGGACAGUAACUGACGCUGAGGCGCGAAAGCGUGGGG
RNAcentral lists this ribosomal RNA (716 nucleotides) under uncultured bacterium. RNAcentral's name for it is "bacterial SSU rRNA". It matches the Rfam family "Bacterial small subunit ribosomal RNA", at positions 35 to 766 of the family's 1533-position model. The record is from RNAcentral.